CGCUUUACGAAAAGGUGAAAAAAGGUGAAAUUGAAUUUACAAGCUAAAUACCAUUUUUCAAUAAUCAACCCAGCAUAAUACUUUGAGUUUAUAUAAAUAGGAAGUAUAAAGUAUAUAAAGGUGCAUAUACUAAUAUCAAUCAAAAGGGUCACAUCCUACCCAGACCAAAUCUGAUAUUAGAUCAACUUGCCCAUAAAUAUAGACCUUUCAAUACUUCAUUCAGUCUAUAGGAAAUAUUGUACAUAUUCUCCAAUACUAAUAUUUUAAAUAUUAUCUUAAAUAAAAUUAAGAUAUAUCAUACAUUCAAUAAAGUAUUAUUACUUUAAAAGUAUUUUGUAAUAAUAUUAUACUUUGGCUAUAUUAUUUGAAAUUAAGAUAUAAUCUUAGUUAAGGAAAAUUAUUACUAUUUUUUUUAACAAAAUAUAAUCCACUAAUACCUGUUUCAGAUGGCUAUGCCUAAUCACUUUAAAAAGCAUACUGCUUACUUUACAUACACAAAUAAACCAUGCCUUGGACCCUGGAUUGUUAAGAACAAUUUAUUUACUAUAUCCAAAGAAUGCACGAAUGCAAUCUGCCUUCAAAAAAAUUAUUUUUCUGUAUGAUGCUAAAGAAUUAUAAAGCUAUUCAAGAUGAUAUUCCUAUUCUCACCCAAGAAGCUGUUGUCAGUUAAAACAAUUAUGCAUUAAUUCCAUUUAUUCAAGAUGAUAUUCCUAUUCACACCCAAGAAGCUGUUGUCAGUAAAAAUAAUUAUGCAUCAAUUCCAUAUCAAUCACAAUUCAAUUUUCAAGAUUUAUUUUUUUUAAAAAAAUCAAUUUAUAAAUUAAUAAAAUCAAAAUAUAAUAAUGACUUUUUAUAUUCUAAUAAGUAUUUGUACAUUAAUGAUAAAUUAAUAUAUUAUAAAUGCCAUACAAAACAUUGUAAAGGGAGGAGGAUUUUA
Long non-coding RNA from Gordionus sp. m RMFG-2023, 937 nucleotides. RefSeq lists it as uncharacterized. The transcript is spliced from 6 exons. NCBI's taxonomy places the organism in Eukaryota, Metazoa, Nematomorpha, Gordioida, Chordodea, Parachordodidae. The record is from RefSeq and is a predicted model, not a curated record.